GGAGAGGGGAGGACGCACGGAGCCGCGGGGGCUGGCGGGCGCAGCGGCGGCUCCUCCGCCCGGCGUCCCCUGGUCCCCUGGUCCCCUGGUCCCUCCGCCUGCUCGCUCACCAUGCUGGAUAUUUUCAUCCUGAUGUUCUUUGCCAUCAUCGGCCUGGUGAUCCUCUCCUACAUCAUCUACAUGCUCUAGAGGGAUGCGGGGGGGGAGAUGCGGCAUCCCCGCAGCAUCAUCCAGCCGCCGCCUGGUCCCUCGGAACCUUCUGGAAAAGCUUUGACCCCCCCACCGGAGCAACCGGCUGCCCGGCGAGGAGCUCACGGCAUCGGCGCUGCGGGCAAAGGGACAUGGGGGGCCAGGGACACGUCCCCCCGUUGUUCCCGGUGACGCAUCCCUGGGAUGGGGGGGAUGCGACGGGUCCUGCCCCGUGGGACGAACCCUCCCGAGGGCGGGCGCCGGGUUUAAUUUUAGAAAGCGCUUCUAUUUUUAAUGAGAAAUGUUUGGAGGGAAUGGAAUAAAGCCGGAUGGCCCAGGA
Molecule: long non-coding RNA, 529 nt
Organism: Columba livia (rock pigeon)
Lineage: Eukaryota; Metazoa; Chordata; Aves; Columbiformes; Columbidae
Exons: 2
Source: RefSeq, a predicted model, not a curated record